UACGUAGGGGGCAAGCGUUGUCCGGAAUUAUUGGGCGUAAAGCGCUCGCAGGUGGUCCGUCGCGUCGUGCGUGAAAGGCCCCGGCUCAACCGGGGAGGGUCGUGCGAUACGGGCGGACUGGAGGCCAGUAGGGGGAUGCGGAAUUCCGGGUGUAGUGGUGGAAUGCGUAGAGAUCCGGAGGAACACCAGCGGCGAAGGCGGCAUCCUGGACUGGUCCUGACACUCAGGAGCGAAAGCGUGGGGAGCGAUCCGGAUUAGAUACCCCCGUAGUCC
Molecule: ribosomal RNA, 273 nt
Filed under: uncultured bacterium
Lineage: Bacteria
Description: partial 16S ribosomal RNA
Rfam family: Bacterial small subunit ribosomal RNA
Source: RNAcentral